AGUACUGUGAUAGAUGGUGUCAUGGUGACUUCCGAUGAGCUCCAAUGUGUUGCAGAAAAAUGCAGCAGUUAGCAAUACUAUGUAACAUAUUGGGUGAGCUGCAGGUUUCACAUAUAUUCUUGGCACAGAAAGCUCUGAUGUACCGGUGUGGUGAUGGUUCUUCCACUGACCAAUCGGCAGGCUGGGAUCUGGCCAAUGACCAAGAGAAAAGUUAUGAGACUGGCUAUACCAUUUGUCAUGGGUGACUAAAUGGAUUUAUAAGUUCUUUAACAGGUACGCACACGAUGCAGAACAUCCGCCUUUAAACAAGAUACAGAACAAGCUGGCAUUCUAUGAACUGUUACAUCUAAAGUUAUUUCUAAUAUGCAAAUUAUAUUUUCAGAUUUUCUUCAUAAGCUUUUGUUUAUUACACCAUCCAUCUUCCGCUAAUGAGACGAAUGACAUAUUUAUAAGUCCAUUUACAUCUUGCCCAAGUACUUUCUCAACCAAAGCACGUUCUGCAUCAAUAAAUCACAAAAAAACACUGGUGUACUGUAAAUAUGGAGCAAAUAUUUUCUUAACUAACAUGACCUGAAUGUCACAGUAAAAUGGAGAACAUUUGCAUUUUAAUGUCAUUACUGACGUUUUAAUAUAUAAUACAUUGAAUUAAAAUGGUAAUAAAAAAACAUAUACGUGGGGAAGUGGUUUAAAAGUUUUUGCCCCAAGGUAUUUUGUAAUUCGUACAGCACAACAUUCCUGCAACUGUUACUGUUAACUUGCUCCCGAUCAUACAUCUUCAUUUAUACACACUAUAUGCAAUUAGAUUAAAAUAUACCUAUAGGUAAAAAACA
This is a long non-coding RNA of Rana temporaria (common frog), 830 nucleotides long. RefSeq lists it as uncharacterized. The record is from RefSeq and is a predicted model, not a curated record. NCBI's taxonomy places the organism in Eukaryota, Metazoa, Chordata, Amphibia, Anura, Ranidae. The transcript has 2 exons.